AACCACAAAGGAACUAUUUCAGUAUCACUCACCUUUCUUGUCUUCAGCAACAGAAACCUCUUUGCUGCUUCCGUAGGAUCAGUUCCCUAACCUGCUGCAUGAGUCUGAACCACUGUUCUUGCGGACCCUGUCAGAUAUUGAGUGAAGCUGUCAUAUACAAGAGCGGGUAAUUGCAACAGCUCCAUCUAUCCGCGGCCUGAAGCUUUGCAAGCUCCAAUUCCUUCACUUCUUCUCUUCGCCCUCCAACAUUGUUCCUUUGCACCAUUUUCGCAAAGGGCAUAAAAAUAAAAUAAAGAAGAGGGCAAAGAAAAAGAGAAACUUCGCAAAAAUAGCAUCAUCGGGUUUUCCGCAUCCGGAGCAAAUUUCUGUCGGCGAUAGUUGCAGAAUUCGUCG
RNAcentral lists this small RNA (393 nucleotides) under Histoplasma capsulatum. RNAcentral describes it as "hypothetical RNA". RNAcentral also lists the same sequence under 1 other name. Lineage: Eukaryota; Fungi; Ascomycota; Eurotiomycetes; Onygenales; Ajellomycetaceae. The record is from RNAcentral.